RNAcentral lists this ribosomal RNA (406 nucleotides) under uncultured bacterium. Its description in RNAcentral is "partial 16S ribosomal RNA". It matches the Rfam family "Bacterial small subunit ribosomal RNA", at positions 30 to 526 of the family's 1533-position model. The record is from RNAcentral.
AUUGAACGCUGGCGGCAGGCCUAACACAUGCAAGUCUAGCGAGCGGCGGACGGGUGAGUAAUGUAUGGGGAUCUGCCCGACAGAGGGGGAUAACUACUGGAAACGGUGGCUAAUACUGCAUACUAUCGGAUGAACCCAUAUGGUAUUAGCUAGUAGGUGGGGUAAAGGCUCACCUAGGCGACGACCUCUAGCUGGUCUGAGAGGAUGAUCAGCCACACUGGGACUGAGACACGGCCCAGACUCCUACGGGAGGCAGCAGGUGGUAAUAUUGCAAAAUGGGCGCAAGCCUGAUGCAGCCAUGCCGCGUGUGUGAAGAAGGCCUUCGGGUUGUAAAGCACUUUCAGCGAGGAGGCGUUACUCGCAGAAGAAGCACCGGCUAACUCCGUGCCAGCAGCCGCGGUAAUUC